AUAAACUGGGUGAGUGUCAGAGAUGCUGACACUCUGGUACCUGACUUUGAGGCAUACUAAAGUCAAGGACUAUUCAUGUCUGUCUCAUGGUGUUUGAGAAUGUUCCCGUGAUGUCCUUUGGAAUAUUUUACUGUGUUAAAGGUGUUUUAUAAAUACAGGUUAGUAGUUCUGCUGCAGUUUAAUCACCUCCUCCAGAAACUUUAUUGAAUAGCUGCUGUUAUGAUUGGUAAGUGUGUGUGACAAAGUGCCACUAAGUGUGAGCUGAUUGAUUUGCUGCCUUUUUUGGGUGACAGAGGCUGAGAGAAGAAUGUUGAUAGGAUCAUAAAAGAGCAUUAUGGUUUUCAUCAAACUGUUUGUGAUCUUUAUCAUUGUCGCUGUGAUUUGAGUGAAACAUACAGUCCGAUUGGGAUCAGCUGGACCAAAUGAUGACUGGAUAUUGGACUCUACACACCAGAUCUCACUGGCUCCUGGGCUUAGCCUGCUGAUCUAAGCUGCUGCAACACACUAAUUGUUCCUGAACCUAAAGAAAAAAAGUCAACAUCUAAAGUUCGAACUCUUCUGGAUCCUUUUGACCAAGACUUUGAGAAAUCAAGGGUUGGCAUUUCCAGGCAUAGUAUUGCUUUGCUGAAGAAAGCAUUAAGCACUGUGAAAAUACAACGAACUGCACGUGAACUCCCGCAAACAAAAACUCGACCAAGUCCAAAUGUUACACUCGAGGAUG
Long non-coding RNA from Rhincodon typus (whale shark), 721 nucleotides. RefSeq lists it as uncharacterized. The record is from RefSeq and is a predicted model, not a curated record. NCBI's taxonomy places the organism in Eukaryota, Metazoa, Chordata, Chondrichthyes, Orectolobiformes, Rhincodontidae. The transcript is spliced from 3 exons.